Azospirillum lipoferum is the source of this 59-nucleotide non-coding RNA. The record is from Rfam. NCBI's taxonomy places the organism in Bacteria, Pseudomonadati, Pseudomonadota, Alphaproteobacteria, Rhodospirillales, Azospirillaceae.
CAACCAGGCCGGGCCCCUCUGGCAACCCCCCUCAGGGGUUGCGAUGUCGGACUGGAUUU